This is a long non-coding RNA of Bombus huntii, 3893 nucleotides long. RefSeq lists it as uncharacterized. The transcript is spliced from 2 exons. Lineage: Eukaryota; Metazoa; Arthropoda; Insecta; Hymenoptera; Apidae. The record is from RefSeq and is a predicted model, not a curated record.
AAAAUCGAUCAUAGAAAUGAAAUGGAAAAAUAAAAAGCCAGGAAAAAUAUAAAUGUCGCCAAUUGGAUCCGCAACAAGUAAUAUUCAGAGAAUAAAUCGAUCGUUGAAUCAAAAAAUAUAAAGAUAUCAAAUCUUUCGUUAUUCCGAUCAAUUUGUCUUAAUAAAAUUGUAAUCUGUAAAACAUAAUGUGAUACAAGUGCCAGCCAAAUCAACGAAACCAUGAAAAUGAAGAAAAGAAAAUUAAAACAAAAUGAAAGGCAAACAUCUCGUUCGUUCUCCAAGCCAUAUUUUCUCGCCUAUGAUUAUGCAUGACGGCGGUGAUAUCGCUUAAACGGCGGAAAGAAGGUGAGAAUUAUCGAUCGCAGUGAAAAAUACGCGAACGCAGAAAUUGCAGCACCAAAGUGGAUGGAUCGGAUGCUAAAAAAGUCCGGAUGCGCAUUGUCGUCGAGGAUAUUCGAGGAAUAACAAUAUGUUAGCUUGGACAGUGCGGAAAAGAAGAGAAAAUCAGAAGGCGGAGGAGCAGGGCGAAACGGAACGAGAGGAAAAAUGGAGUGUGUGAGAACCGAUGCGUAGCGAGCGCACUUGGCUCCGCAUAAAUUCUGAUCGGUGAUUUACGAGCGUAACACGUGUCCCGGGCCAGGAUGCCGAGUAUUUAUUUCAACGCGAAACUUUUUUGCAUAAAAUAGCGGGAAAACGAGCGGAGAAAUCGGAUCGAAGCCGGAAAUGGGAAUCGUAUUGUCGAAAAUGGCUCUUAUGCCAGAAUACAACAGAAUAUUAUCAUUAUCGUCGUCGAUGUUGUUGAUGUUUGUUGCGCAUUAAAUGUGCAAAGUGCCGGAAGAUGAUUAAUGUAAUGAAAAAAAUAACGACACGAAAAAAAUACUAUAAAUGGAAUAAGAGUAAAAUCUAUAGAUAUAUAGAUAUAAAAAAUAGAACAAAAAUUGGAAAACUGUCCCUGGAACAAGUGAAUUACAAUGUUCAUGAAAUUCGUGAAAAGUUAGUUACUAUUCUAUACUAUACAGGCGAAUAACGCGAAUUACGAUCAACCAUAUCGCAACUAAUUGCGAUAAAAUAAUCCCAGGUAUAUAUUAACAUUUGCGUUUUCUUAAUUAUCUUUGACUCGAUCCUAAUUUUUUAUACCCAACAAAUUUCUCAAAUUCGAUGAAAAUAUGACGCGUGAUUUUUCGUCUCAAAUAUUUUUUAAAGAACCGCGAAAGAUCGAUAGAUAAAAUAAACGCGAGAUAAGCAAGGAGAAAGUCGUGUCGUAGCGUCAAUGGUUCGAAGUACGAUGACAUUCGUUUCAAGAUAUCGUUUUAACAAUUGUAUCUUAUUAAUUGCUUUAACGUACGAUUAUAUCGCUGCUCGUUCCGUCGUUCGAAUCUUUGUUCUCUUAAUUUUUUAAACAGAAAAAAACGGUAGAAUUACAUAUUUCGAGCAAUACAUCUGUCUGAUACCACCGACGACGAGUACAAAUCACUUAAUAAUUCUCUCGGGCUACAUAGUAACAGCGUAUCGCAGUACCUUAACGAACGAGUGUUCAACAAUCUGUCCGUAGUGUAAUCUCCGGCAAGCAUUGUUCGUUUCUCCAACGAUUAAUUUGUCUCGCGUUAAUCGCGCAACGAUUUCUCACAGACACGAUUGUCCAUCUAUACACCCGACGAUCGUUCUAGAAUUUACGUAGGAAAAUGAAAAGUAAAAAGUAGCUUUGUAUAAAAAACUUGCAAAGAUAAGAUAAACUUUGCACGUUUCGCAUUUAGUUAGAUAACAAGAGUUCCACGACUUUCUAUGUCUAUGAAAUAAAGAAAAACUAGGUCGUUAUAAGGAAUCGAAACAAACGCGAUAACGCUUACUUUGAUUUCGAUUUCGGUGUGCCACAAAUUGGUUAUGAAUCGUCCUAAUCCAACUUAGAACAGGCGAUAUUCCGCGAAAUCGGAAUAAAAUUUGAAUUGGUCUUCGAUUUUUUAGGAAUAGGCAGUGGAAUAUCGUAAUCUAUUCAAGCGAUCUUAACGAUCAUAACACGAUAUUUUUUAUAGAAUUAGAGAAAAAAAACUACGUAUUUGUAAAAAGAAAAUUUCGGCUUCAACGAGUUUUUACGGGUAGACUAUGGAGCGGCGAUAGUCCAUUCGUACACGUACCAACUAUCAUCAAUUUCAACACGAAGGAAGAAACCAACGUUUUCACGAAAAAUCCACAGGAAAACGAAACCAACGUUUAGUUUGGAUUUGCGUUCCAAUUUUCCACAAAUUGACAACCAUCCUAGAAUUGAUAUAUCAAACUAGAAAAUAAGCCAGAUAAUGCGUCAAAGCUGUUCCUUAAAAUUACCCAAUGACACCACCAGUCACAACAUAAAAACGCUCAGGUUCGUCGCUAUUUCGUUCGCAGGUGUCGACAAUAUCCGUGCGUGUUUGGUUGGGUAGCUGCUGUAUUAUGAUUCUCAUUAGCACAAAAUAAUAUUCUUAUUCAAUAAGAAGAAGACGCCAGGAUGAGUCACGAGGAGUUCGACGACCGACGCGGCGCGGCGUAGCUCGGCACUAACAGUCUUUACGCGAGAAGCCAACCGACGGAGGAAGCAAAGGACAACGGCGGCGGCGGCGGCGGCGACGGCGGCGGCGGUGGCUAUAAAAAGAAACGCGAGUAAAUGGGAGUAAGGGAAUGUCGAGGAGGGAUGCAACGACGGGCUGAACGUAUCAACUCUUUCCAUUUCAUCGUCAGAUAGUACCGCGGACGAAGGGAACCUCUCUUAUUUCGUUGGACGCGUUAUUUAUCGCUACCUUCCCUUCGCUUUCAUCGGCGAUCGAAUAGUCACUUGACGAUAUUGUCGUUUACAACGGAAUACGAGGCUCGUUCGGGGUCGACACAAUUUACAGAAACGCCAAGACGACUAAGAAGCGCGGCAAGAAUUCGUAAUGAACCGUGUCCACGCGCGAAGGAAGAUUCUUCGCAUAAAGCAGCGUGGAAACAAACUUCAACGUUAACUCGUAACGCGAUGGGAAUUAAACGAAGAAAGAGGAGGAGAAACGUGUAAAGAAGAAACGUUAGAUAGAUAGAUAGAUAGAUAGAUACUUGCAAUGAAGCACUGCAGCGAACCGUCAAGGGAAUAUAUCUAUCGUCUCAAAAUAUCUAUACGAAUCUAAGAAAAGACAAGAUUUUCAGGACAAAAUCGUGGAAACACAGAACAACGUUUAGGUUUUUCUUCUAAAUUUUCCACAAAUUGUCAAAGAAUUCGCAACUAAUGAACUAACAAAUUAAAUACGAAUUCGAGUCUUUCCUACGUUAAAAUGUCCUGUCCGAAGCGUUUAAAUAAUCUGUAUGUAUGAGUAUCAAUAAUAAAUAAUUAUAGGUAUAGGCUGUUGUGGAAUAAUUAUAAAUAAUAACGAUACGUGUUUGUAGUUCUCUCGGUUGUUUCAAAUACAACAUUCGAACUAAUCGAUGUCUAAAAAUUUCUUCGCAAAACAUAUGAUAAAAAUUGCGGCAAUACAAAACUAUUAUUGAUAGAGAAAUAUUGUUAAUAGAAAAAAGAUUUGAACGUUAACUAGUCGCGCAACGGGAAUUAAGCGAAUAAACCGGAACAAAGAAUGAAGAAACGAUGGAUAUUUACGAUGGAGCAUCGGCGUGAACCAUAAAGGGAAGCACUCGGAAGAAGAAAGUCUGCUGAAGGGUGCUCGAGAUUUACAAGAAAAUACAACGUGAUUUUGGAAGUCUGACUGGCUGGCUGACUGGAUUUUUAUGAGACCUAUGGUGCUAAGGAGAAACGUAAUCCGCAUGAUGAACGUUUCUUACUUUUUUCCUUUUUUUAACCAUUUCAUUGAGCUAUUCCUUUUUUCUUUUUUUAAUUGACUUAUAUUCCACUAUAUAUUGUAUUAUAACUUAUAUUCCAUUAAAAAAAUUAGUUUGUA